GUGCCAGCAGCCGCGGUAAUACGUAGAUGGCAAGCGUUGUCCGGAUUUAUUGGGCGUAAAGCGAGCGCAGGCGGUUCUUUAAGUCUGAUGUGAAAGACCCCAGCUCAACUGGGGAAGGUCAUUGGAAACUGGAGAACUUGAGUGCAGAAGAGGAGAGUGGAAUUCCAUGUGUAGCGGUGAAAUGCGUAGUUAUAUGGAGGAACACCAGUGGCGAAGGCGACUCUCUGGUCUGUAACUGACGCUGAGGCUCGAAAGCGUGGGGAGCAAACAGGAUUAGAAACCCUGGUAGUCC
Molecule: ribosomal RNA, 292 nt
Filed under: uncultured prokaryote
Description: partial 16S ribosomal RNA
Rfam family: Bacterial small subunit ribosomal RNA
Source: RNAcentral